RNAcentral lists this ribosomal RNA (466 nucleotides) under uncultured bacterium. RNAcentral describes it as "bacterial SSU rRNA". It matches the Rfam family "Bacterial small subunit ribosomal RNA", at positions 330 to 792 of the family's 1533-position model. The record is from RNAcentral.
ACCAGACUCCUACGGGAGGCAGCGGUGAGGAAUAUUGGUCAAUGGGCGGAAGCCUGAACCAGCCAAGUCGCGUGAGGGAAGAAGGCCCUGCGGGUCGCAGACCUCUUUGGACGGGGAGCAAGGCCGCCGACGUGUCGGCGGAAGGAGAGUACCCGUAGAACAAGCAUCGGCUAACUCCGUGCCAGCAGCCGCGGUAAUACGUAGGGGGCAAGCGUUAUCCGGAUUUACUGGGUGUAAAGGGAGCGUAGACGGUCCUGCAAGCCAGAUGUGAAAGCCCGGGGCUCAACCCCGGGACUGCAUUUGGAACUGUAAGGCUAGAGUGUCGGAGAGGCAGGCGGAAUUCCUGGUGUAGCGGUGAAAUGCGUAGAUAUCAGGAGGAACACCGGCGGCGAAGGCGGCCUGCUGGACCGUGACUGACGUUGAGGCUCGAAAGCGUGGGGAGCAAACAGGAUUAGAUACCCCAGUA